Molecule: ribosomal RNA, 400 nt
Filed under: uncultured bacterium
Lineage: Bacteria
Description: bacterial SSU rRNA
Rfam family: Bacterial small subunit ribosomal RNA
Source: RNAcentral
UGGGGAAUAUUGGACAAUGGGCGCAAGCCUGAUCCAGCAAUGCCGCGUGUGUGAAGAAGGCCUUCGGGUUGUAAAGCACUUUUAUCAGGAGCGAAAUGCCAUGGGCUAAUACCCCGUGGAGCUGACGGUACCUGAGGAAUAAGCACCGGCUAACUUCGUGCCAGCAGCCGCGGUAAUACGAAGGGUGCAAGCGUUAAUCGGAAUUACUGGGCGUAAAGGGUGCGUAGGCGGUUCGUUAAGUCUGCCGUGAAAUCCCCGGGCUCAACCUGGGAAUGGCGGUGGAUACUGGCGAGCUAGAGUGUGUCAGAGGAUGGUGGAAUUCCCGGUGUAGCGGUGAAAUGCGUAGAGAUCGGGAGGAACAUCAGUGGCGAAGGCGGCCAUCUGGGACAACACUGACGCU